CAGUCGCCACGGUAAUACGUAGGUGGCAAGCGUUGUCCGGAAUUAUUGGGCGUAAAGCGCGCGCAGGUGGUUUAAUAAGUCUGAAGUGAAAUGCCGGGGCUCAACCCCGGAGCUGCUUUGGGAACUGUAGAACUGGAGUGUCGGAGGGGUAAGCGGAAUUCCCAGUGUAGAGGUGAAAUUCGUAGAUAUUCGCAAGAACACCAGUGGCGAAGGCGGCUCACUGGCCCGAUACUGACGCUGAGGCACGAAAGCGUGGGGAGCAAACAGGAUUAGAUACCCCAGUAGUCCCUGUCUCUUAUAC
RNAcentral lists this ribosomal RNA (301 nucleotides) under uncultured bacterium. RNAcentral describes it as "partial 16S ribosomal RNA". It matches the Rfam family "Bacterial small subunit ribosomal RNA", at positions 509 to 807 of the family's 1533-position model. The record is from RNAcentral.